CCUACGGGUGGCAGCAGUGAGGAAUAUUGGUCAAUGGCCGUAAGGCUGAACCAGCCAAGUAGCGUGAGGGAAGACGGCCCUAUGGGUGGUAAACCUCUUUUAUGCGGGGAUAAAGGUGUCCACGUGUGGAUGUUUGCAGGUACCGCAUGUAUAAGGACAGGCUAAUUCCGGGCCAGCCGCACCGGUAAUACGGAAGGUCCGGGCGUUAUCCGGAUUUGUUGGGUUUAAAGGGAGCGUAGGCCGGUCUUUAAGCGUGCCGUGAAAUUUUGUGGCUCAACCAUGAGAGUGCGGCGCGAACUGGAGACCUUGAGUGCGCGGAAGGCAGGCGGAAUUCGUGGUGUAGCGGUGAAAUGCUUAGAUAUCACGAAGAACCCCGAUUGCGAAGGCAGCCUGCCGCAGCGUUACUGACGCUGAGGCUCGAAAGCGUGGGGAGCAAACAGGAUUAGAUACCCGGGUAGUC
RNAcentral lists this ribosomal RNA (460 nucleotides) under uncultured bacterium. Its description in RNAcentral is "partial 16S ribosomal RNA". It matches the Rfam family "Bacterial small subunit ribosomal RNA", at positions 338 to 795 of the family's 1533-position model. The record is from RNAcentral.